UGGGGAAUAUUGCACAAUGGGCGCAAGCCUGAUGCAGCCAUGCCGCGUGUGUGAAGAAGGCCUUCGGGUUGUAAAGCACUUUCAGCGAGGAGGAAGGGUAGUGUGUUAAUAGCACAUUGCAUUGACGUUACUCGCAGAAGAAGCACCGGCUAACUCCGUGCCAGCAGCCGCGGUAAUACGGAGGGUGCAAGCGUUAAUCGGAAUUACUGGGCGUAAAGCGCACGCAGGCGGUUUGUUAAGUCAGAUGUGAAAUCCCGCGCUUAACGUGGGAACUG
RNAcentral lists this ribosomal RNA (275 nucleotides) under uncultured bacterium. RNAcentral describes it as "partial 16S ribosomal RNA". It matches the Rfam family "Bacterial small subunit ribosomal RNA", at positions 355 to 623 of the family's 1533-position model. The record is from RNAcentral.